RNAcentral lists this long non-coding RNA (1081 nucleotides) under Prunus persica (peach). RNAcentral describes it as "long non-coding RNA (PPER_LNC007062)". The record is from RNAcentral. Lineage: Eukaryota; Viridiplantae; Streptophyta; Magnoliopsida; Rosales; Rosaceae.
CAAGUUUGAUAGAUAAAUAGUCUGCAGGUUGUAGCAUUUAGAAGGGCUUCAAGUACAUGAUCAUGCAUGCAACAUAAGAGAAAUUUAGAUAUGUAAUUCCUAGUAAUGGGCAUGAUGUGCUGUGCUAGAUAUCAUAUAUAGACAGGUGUCGCAAACUUGUGGUAUUAAUUCAGUCUGGAGAACAUGGUUCUAAAAGUCGUCAAUUAUAUAGGCCAUUAUUUUGUUGUCCUUGAGAUAAAUUUAAUAUUAUUUUGUGAGUAUGGUGUAUUUAUUAAAAUUACAUUUGUUUCACAACUUAGUAUAUUUUUUUGGUUAUUUUAUAUUAGAGUAAAUUAGUAAUUUAAUAAAUAGUUUGGUAAUAUAGUGUACUCAGUUAAUUUUAGGGUUCAUCACUCUUUUUUUUUUUUUUUUUUUAAUUUAUAAUCAAGAGAUACUUCAUUGAAAGCCCAAAAAGGCGAAGAAAAAAACAAGAGGGGUCAUGAAGGCACACUCAAGGCAAAGCUAGCAAGGUGUAAACAGGAGCUUUCUCAUCAUAGGCUAAACAAAAAUGAAACUAUUACAAAAGGAAUUAAACUGGAGGGCAUGGCAGCCCAUCAAAAUUCAGUUUCUUUAGAGCUAUCCGUAGUGGAUAGGUUCAGAGCAUUAUGUUUGGAGGGAGGAAGACAAUUCAUAUGAGGAAAUUGAAGGAUUGGAAGGAGGAAUAACACAAAGAUAGAAUAGGCCAUGUUCUGUGUAAUCAGAUAGUCGAAGAAAAGGAUCGAGUGUAUCGUGCUCGAAGGGGACAAAUUGCUCCCCUUGCAUGUCUAUGUAAGCUUGUAUAGGACAUCACAGUCAUUGAACGAAUCUUGAACUCAUGUUUGCAGACAUAGAGAUUAAUACAAACUUAUCCAGUAAACUCAUACAGAUGUGAAUAAAGAAUCCUUAUGAGUUUAGGAAUCCUAAUCCUAUUAAUAUUGACAUAAGUGCACGGAUGUUAGGUAUACAAGUUAUAUUCUAAUUGGGUUUCUAAUGAGAGAAUCCAAUCAGAUUUUCACCAGCUAACAGUAUUAAUACAGAGGUCCUUGCCUUCGCAAACAUGCGC